Molecule: non-coding RNA, 21 nt
Organism: Caenorhabditis elegans
Lineage: Eukaryota; Metazoa; Nematoda; Chromadorea; Rhabditida; Rhabditidae
Source: Ensembl
UUUUUAAUUUUGGAUACAAGA